Molecule: ribosomal RNA, 210 nt
Filed under: Triticum aestivum (bread wheat)
Lineage: Eukaryota; Viridiplantae; Streptophyta; Magnoliopsida; Poales; Poaceae
Description: partial small subunit ribosomal RNA
Source: RNAcentral
AUGCAUGUUUUCCAUCACAUGUAUGCAGCCAUGUAUGCCAAGCAAGGCUGGCCUCAGAUGGGUGCCACAACUUGGGGUGUCUUUGGCUCGCUUGUGAAGGAGAGUAAGGGGAAGAGGCAAGGUUGUGCUGCUACACCUCAUCGUUUGUCCGCUCGGUCUGCAAUGCUCUCCAACGACAGGUUGGAGAUGAAGUGGUUGCACGCGAAGUGA